UUUUCCGUUUUCUUUAUUCUUAUUGGAAGAUUCGAGAUCCCCAUCACCGACAAAAACUCCUCCCGCCAACCUUUGGACAGCCCCCCUUUUCCGCCUCCUUUUCUCGUCAUGUAAUCUUCUCUCUCUUUCUUCCGCGUAGUGAUUCUUCCUCCGCUGUUCUCUCUUCAAGAGGGAAGAAGAUGACUCAUAUCCUUAUUCGACAUCAUUAGAUUUCAAUUCAGUUCUUAGAUUUCUUCUUCUUUUUCUCUUCAUAUCGAUCGUUUAAUUCGGGAUUUUGCACUCUUGUUGAUCUUAAUUGGACGAUUUUAGCGCGAUUUUUCGUUUUUGAGUUCUUUAUUUGUUGUUAAGUCGAUCGAAAUUUGUGUUUGAUGAUGUGUUUCUCUUAAUUCCGAUUCACGGGGAAACCAGAGGGAGGACGAUCGACAGAGGGCUCAAGCUCGAAAGUCUCAGGUGAAGCAGCGAGACGACGGCCUAACCCCUGAACAGCGCCGCGAGAGGUAUCCCUCUUCCCUUGAUCUGAUUGAUUAGCUGAUGGUCGAACGGAUCCUAAAUACGUAGGCUGAUGGGGUAAUUAAUUGGCAAAAAGAACUGAUCUCGAGUUACGUUGAUGCUGUGCAGGGAUGCGAAAGCGCUCCAAGAGAAGGCAGCUAAGAAGGCUGCGCAAGCAGCAGUAGGAGUCACUACCGACUCGAAAAACAAAGACAACGCAAAGAAGUAGCAACGGGAGUUCGAUCCGGCAGGUUAUUCANNNNNNNNNNNNNNNNNNNNNNNNNNNNNNNNNNNNNNNNNNNNNNNNNNNNNNNNNNNNNNNNNNNNNNNNNNNNNNNNNNNNNNNNNNNNNNNNNNNNNNNNNNNNNNNNNNNNNNNNNNNNNNNNNNNNNNNNNNNNNNNNNNNNNNNNNNNNNNNNNNNNNNNNNNNNNNNNNNNNNNNNNNNNNNNNNNNNNNNNNNNNNNNNNNNNNNNNNNNNNNNNNNNNNNNNNNNNNNNNNNNNNNNNNNNNNNNNNNNNNNNNNNNNNNNNNNNNNNNNNNNNNNNNNNNNNNNNNNNNNNNNNNNNNNNNNNNNNNNNNNNNNNNNNNNNNNNNNNNNNNNNNNNNNNNNNNNNNNNNNNNNNNNNNNNNNNNNNNNNNNNNNNNNNUUCAGUUUAAAGGGCAUCUCUAUUUGACUGUCAUGAUGUAACUUGCCUUUCUUUUCCUAGUGGUUCUCGUCUCUUGAUGUCUCUUAAUCUGUGACUGAAUGGUCAUGGAGGUUUUACUCUAAUAACUAGAAGAAGACUGCUUGCUUCUCAUAAUCCAUUAAUUUUUAUGGUCUGUGAGUUGCAUUAACCAUUUAUUUUUAGCUAUGCUUUACUCGAUUGGAUUCUGUUAAAACAUGGAUCAGCAAAGGACACCUCUUUAUAUAUAAUAUGUUGAAAGUUACUGUUUGAUCUGUACAUUCCAUUGUAUUUGAGGAACUUUGACAAAGCAAAUAUUGUAGAACUUGGCUUGUUGGUGAUGGCAACCAUGAACCUUCGAUUACAGGAAGGGUUUUUUUGCUAUUGUAAUGUAUUCACCUUUUUUCUUGUUGUGUUUGAGCAAUUUUAUCUUUGGAUCCGGGCAUACUUGGAAGAUAAAAUAAAUAUUGUGAAUUCUGUGUCUUUUUUUUUUUUUGAUGAUAUUUUGGAGGUUUGAUCAUUACUUUUGACUGUUAUUAAGAAGAUCUUAGUUAGCUAUCUUAGAUGGUCUUUGUAGCAAGGUCUAUAUAUUUGACUUGUUUGUGUAGUCCUGCCAUAAUGACUAUUUAAUUCCUUUUCCUGAUCUAAAAUAAUGUGAAACAGGUUUUCUUAAUGUGGUUGAUAGGGCGGGGAACAUAGAUCCUUUGAUCAAUAAAAUGAUCGUCAUUUUGCGUUGAUAGUUUAAUGAGAAACUUUUGUGUUCAUCUGGGGACAUAUUUUUGUUUGUCAUUGUUCUUUGGACAUUUGCAUUUGAUUCGUGCAGGACUUUAAUUUGUUUUACAAAGACUUUCAGGACCUCUUUUUUCCAGUUUGAUGAUUUGUGGCAUUGCAAAGCAACUCUUUAAGGCUACUCACGGCUAUGCCGAGCGUCCAAGCAAGUAAGGGAAUGCCAGGAGUGAACCAUUAUACUGUAAGCCUGCCAUUUCAUGAGUUUGUGCAAUUUCGAGUUUUAGCAAUUUUCAAGGAGUUCCACUUGACCCUACUGUUUUUAGAAUGAAAUCAUUGGUCACCUUUGUUAUAAACAAAACAUGGCACAAUAUGGUUCACAUAUGUCUAAGUUCCAAGUAGCAACAUUACCAUGGCAUCAAUGCUUAGACCUUUGUUAUAAACCAAAAACUUAAAUAUAGAAUUAAUAAUUGUUGGUCUUGACCAUAUGUAUGCUUGUCAAGUAUGUUACUUGGUGAAGUAUGAUAGGGUAUAUUCUGGUACCACCCCCGUGGCAACAGUUAACAAGCACGUCAGUGCCAACGCUGAGCCUCAGGGCUGAUAUGGGGAACUGUGUCGACGCGACACCUCGGACUCGGAUGGGACGAUCGCUUGUUCUCGUGCUAUCCGAGGCCGUACAAGACAGUGCUGCAAUGUACAAAGCCGCUCUGGAAAGCUCGGAACGGUGUCGUGCGGCGUCGCUCCGUGCAGGUCGGUCGGCGCUCGCAUGUAUGGUACGAGCCGGCCGCCCGAGGAGUUGGCAGCCAUUAACAGAUCAUGUACGAUCGACCUUCGUUCACAAGUAUAAGAGUCAACCUCCUGACCAGCGUCAGGGGUAGAACUUCGAACACUCAAACUCCCCCGAACACCACUCAACACUAGCUUAGACUUCAGAGGGGUCGAGUCGAGAAAUCCCCCUCAUGACUUCGACCUGUGUGCAUGAACUUGGCAAGGAAAGAGCGGCAACCCGACGAGGGAGGAAGAGCAACUCCUUGCUCGACAUCGGAUCAAUUAUGGAGAUGAAGCCCGGAUCGAACCUGAUGUCGCCCACCUUUGCCCGAGCAUCCACGUGGGCGACUCUGCGCACUCGGGAUUGGAUCAAACCGUGUUGACUCCUCGGCCUCGGCCUCGGCCACGGUAUAAAGAUACCCAACAAAGUAUAUUUUCUCCAUCUUACCUUUCUGGCGCCUGUUUAUUGUUCUUUAGAUUUCCAUAUGUUGCUUUUCAAGGUAAUUAUAGGAUGAUUCAUGUAGCAAAUAGGUAUCAGGUGAGAUACUGUGUGAUUAUGUAGAUGAAUCUCAUCUUUUUCUCUCUUGUUUUCUAGUGUCUGUGUAAUUUGCUGGAUAUGAUUACGGCUUCAUGUUUCUAGUUUGGAUGCUCAGUGACAUAUAAUGAUUUUUUUUGUGUUAUUAGAUACAUCAGAAAACGCUUACAUACACUUCUCGGGUCAGGACAAUUGCUUAGAAUUUAGAAUGCUAAUGAUGUCAUUUACAUUUGGUUCUUAGCAAAAAUCGAUGUGCUGAAUUUUCAGUAGCAAAAAAUUUUGUUGGCAAUAUUGCUUGAUUAGGUGUAACUUGUUUGCUUGGCAGUAAAUAGUAAAUUAUGAUCAAACUUUUGGGACAUUAUAGUCAAUCUAUCACAUCGAACUAAAAAUGACAUUCUUUCUUGUGAUAUGAAAUUGAUAAGCCUGAUGAUUAGAACAUGCAUGCUGUAUUUCUCACGGGGAGAGAAAUCUAAGCCUGGCAUUUUGAAUACCACUUUAUAGGAACUGUUAUUCUAUUUGGAUAAGUGUGUGUAUGUUUGUCUGCGAUAUUAUAGUAUAGACUGGGUAAGUGCAUCGAGUAUCGCAAAGAUAUUCCACCAUGAAUCAUCAGAUCAGUGAGGUUCAAAUCUGAUGGAAUUCUCGGGCAUUGCGUACAUUUACGCACCCCACAAGAAUCCUUUAGCUGCCUUAUAAUCCUCAAAUUCGAAUUUGAAUAUGGUAUUAAAUGGUUGUUAAUUAUCACGCCACAACCGCUCAGCUUGAUAACAAUUGAUGGGAAUGUCGGAAGAAAUGGAGGACAAAUAAUUAAAUACUAGGCUCAAACAACCGCAUAAGAACAGCGUUUUUGUUAGCUCGAUGUGUUUGGACAAUCCAAUAUGAGUAGGAAAGUUAGUGCAGACUGUGUAUUGAAUCAAAUGGCCUCACAAAAUGGUGUUUGGACAAUCCAAUAUGAGUAGGAAAGGAAGUGCAGACUGAGUAUCGAAUCAAAUGGCCUCACAAAAUGCAAUUCCCUAUCAGAAUGAUCCAUCAUAAUCUAUCGGAGUAUAUAUUACCAACACAAACAUAAUACUUGGACAUAAUAAGAUUGAAUACAGAUCAACGACAGUCCCAUGCAUAUGUUCCUCGAAGGACAACACAGUAGUGGACAUGAAGAUUAUAACAGAUCACAAUAACAAGGUUGGAAUUGUACUAAAAAUGCAAUCCAACACACUGAUAUUUAGAGUUCAGAGAGAGAGAGAGAGAACACCUGCACAUUCAAAUAUAGUCGGGCUACUCUUCUCAACAAGAAUAGGAGCACCAACUGCAGACAUUUCAGUUAGCCUGCAGAGAUCUUGGUGGUGGAUGCUUAAUUCUGACAUGCGAUAAAUUUCGGUGGCAAUCAUGGGAUAUUUACUUGAAACUCCCUCUAGAGCACAGCAAUUGUCACCUUACGUUUGGGUGGCAUCAUCAUUGAUGAAUUGUCGAUAUGAUUGGGAUCUAGACAUAGUUCUUGGAGCUUCCUUGCCCCUCAUCUUGUCGAUUCUCUGUUCCAGCUCAGAUUUUGCUUUCGAUUGGAUCUAAUACGUAGGCUGUGGAGGUUCUUGCUCAUCGCUGAGAACCCCAAUGCCAUCUGGUGACCCACCAACGAUAGCCUUGGCAGUGGAGACACUGUCAGAUGAAUCUAUAUUAAGGAAUAGGCAGACCACAGCGCAGUCAUCAACCCUCGAGGUCGGAUAUCUAAGCCUCCAGGCUCGGCCUGCUGAUUCAACAACAUAGCGAGCUGCAGAGGACCUUGUGGAAGCCAUAGCAACAAUGUCUACCACCUCUUUGUUGGAUAAUACAUCCCAAACCUGACGAGUCAACCAAACAUGUAAGGAUAAUGCUUCAUAAGCAUUCUAGUCAUGUUAUUUCGUAAACUGCAAAGAAAAGAAAAAAAUCUGACAAUAAGUUCAGGGAAUUUUGUCAGCUAAUACUAAUGGAAAAUCAUAAUUCAUCUCACCCCAUCGGUGGCCAAGACUAUAAACUCAUCUUUCUCUGUGAUGCGUCUGUAUGAAAUCUCAGGCACAGAAAUCAAACCAAAAUCCUUCAAACAAAAAUCCCCAAAAGCUCGUGCCAUUGCCAAGCCCGGAGAGUUAGCAUUAGGCAGCCAUAACCGAGCCACCUCUGGUUCAUCACGAAGAGCAAAAACACGGCCCCUGCAACGUCUAAUUCUUUCUGCUUCCCCUGUAAAAGAAAUUUUCAUGGUAAAAAAAACAUUCGAACAAAUUAGACAAGUAGCAAAGUAGUAAUAAAAAUAUUUCGGGAAUCCCUACCCACCUACAAGUUGCUUUCAUGAUAGAAAAAUAUCUAAAUAGAAAAAGAAAUGGCAAGACCAUUGGCUAGAUCUGUUCUACAAUUAUAUUUAGCAGUUGGCUUAUGAAACAGAUCCAUUUGUGUGGCUGCAGAUAUAACUAUAAAGAACUACAUUAAAGGAACAACAAUCUAGUAUCUCAUUGCUCUCAAGCAAAAUAUCUUAAAUCAAUGUUGAAAGAAUUGCCAAGUCUCUCAAAUCAACGAGAAUUUAGCACUUAAAAAAAACCGCUAGUUAGCAAAUCAAUCAUAUAUGAGCCAACUGAGUUACCUUCAUCUAUGGUACCAAGGAGGUUAGCAAUUUAACCAUACAAGAUAUUUAUAGUACCAUUACCAUGGUUGAAAUAACCAGUUCAAAUGACCAGAAGAUUCUCCAUCACAAGUAUAUAGAGAUAAAUCUCUCGCGGAUUUUAACAACCCAAAAGGUAAAAUAGUCAUAUCCAUUAACAUUUGUGCAAAAAUGAUUUGAAGUAUACAAAACAUACCUGCAAGAACAUGUCGGUGCGAAUAUGUAAAAUAUGAACUUACAUACUCAAAAAGUAUUAAGUGACAAAGGAGGAAAAUCAUACUGGGAAGAUUUGGUUUAAGGUCCACGGUCAACUGCACCGCAACCAAGGUGUUAUUUUGAUCUCUAGUCCCCAAAACUGCUCUUGAGUCUCCAACAUUUCCAAUGACAAGAUCUUGACCCUAAGAUGAAUAAAACCCGACUUAGCAAUACAUAAUUGUAUAUAUUUUUAAAUAACCAAUUAAACAGAACAUUUUGUCAUUUCAUUAAAAACCAAGAUGGGAAACUAAUGGCUCAUAAUCAACCUGCUUAACCAAAGUAACAGCUGUUGUCCCACUAUAGAAGCAAUCAAUAUCUGGAUGCAGUCUCAGUUCCUUAUCCACUUUUCUAAAAGCCUUCAGGAAUGGGUCUCUCAGUGUUGCUAUGAUUUCCGAACGCUUGAUCAAAUCCUUGAAGCCAAUGGAAGCUCUGAAUUCUUCAUUGAGACACACAGAUGAUGUUUCCUCUGAAUCCAUGCUUUUACUGAGAUUGUUCUCUUUACAUUCAUCAUCUCCUAUAUUUACUUCCCAUCUGGCACGCAGCUUUAGUGGGAGGAUAUCUCUUACUUUUUUCGCCACCAUGUGGCCAUUUGGACCAUGACCAUCAAAAACUCCACAAAAAACAGUGUCACUUCUACAGCCAAAAUUCUGCAUAAUUGUCCAGAUAACAUAAGAUGAUCAUUAAAAUGACAGUGUUCAAACCGGAAAUAACUUCUAAAACAACCAAUAGCAGGAAGAAAAAAUGCCAUUGACAUAUCAUAUGCUAAAUAUAAAGUAUGGCAAAAAUUGGUACCAGUAGAGAAAACAAUAAGCUAUAAUGCACAGAUUCAGAUGAUGAUUAAUUUCAAACAGAAGCACUUGAAUUCGAAUCUCUAUGCUGAUAAAUGGAAGUCAUUGGUUUCCUACUAAAUAAUACAACAAGCAUAUAGUUUGAAGAGCAAAACUUUGUAUACAGAAUUGAUAUCGAUCCGAAACAAGAACAAAAGUAAAAAGGAAAUUUCAUAAAAUUCAAGACACAUGGUAACUGGAAGAAUCAAAACCUGAGACUUAAAAGAGUAAAAUGAUUCCAAUUUUGUUACUAAUUAGAGAAUUCGACAUUCAGGAGAUGAAGAAUGAUGAGAUCAAUGAGCAAAAAGACAGGUAGGUAAUAAACAAGCCACUGGAUUUUCUGCUCCUGGAACAUGAGAUUAAUUUCUACAAUGCAACUGGACUGUAAACACAGACAAGAAGAACUACCACUAGAUCCAGUAGAAGGCAUAACAUGGCACACAAAUCAAUGUCUACUCUGGUAUCACAAACAUCAAGCAAACCAUUAGCUGGAAAAGAAAAGGAAGGCAACAAGAUGAUGAAAGCCCAAAUGUCGAAUCUAAGCAUGGAAUCAUUACACCAAACACCACCACCACCAAGAAUCUGACGAACCUCCCAAACGAUCAUGGCAUCCUGGUUGAUGCCUUUCUUGCCCUGCCGGGAGAAGAGCGAGGCGGCGCUGCUGGCGCCGUUGAGGAACAUCCUCCCGGGGAUCCGAUGGAGCUGCUCCUCCGGCAAGCCACUCAUCUGCCUCCUCAGGCUUCUCCGGCGCCGCCUGGCCCCUGACGCCGGCGACGCGGGGGGCGACGAGCUGGAGCCGCCGUUCCGUCCUUCCGGCGACAGGCAGGAACCCAUUGGGAGGGCCCUGAUCACGUCUAGUAUGCACUCCAGAGCCGCCAGGCAGCUGAACCAGACGAUUAAACUUGGCGGAUCCGUCGAAACCCCAAAUCAAAACACGCUCCCCCACCCACCCCACCCCUCUCUCUCUCUCUCUCUCUUACGCCCUUUAAUCCGAUCGAUCGAACCCUCUUCUUCUCUUCUAAGUUUCUUCCUUUUCUUGAUCCUUAUUGCAGCACGGACAGAUUCCGUGGAAUUCCUGGAACAAAAGCUCCACUUUUUGGAGGAAUCAAGAUCAGCAAACAGGGGGAGAGCAACCAAUCACGAAACAGAUGUGUGAAUGAACGGUAUACAUAAAGAAGGAUAACUACUGGACAGGGAUGAUAACAAAGGACACCUUGGAUGAAAGAUCACUGCAGAGGAAUCUAGAUUCCCAUGAAAGCUUUUUCUAUUCGAAGAAGGAAG
RNAcentral lists this long non-coding RNA (8161 nucleotides) under Musa acuminata (dwarf banana). RNAcentral describes it as "long non-coding RNA (MACU_LNC004847)". Lineage: Eukaryota; Viridiplantae; Streptophyta; Magnoliopsida; Zingiberales; Musaceae. The record is from RNAcentral.